RNAcentral lists this long non-coding RNA (1419 nucleotides) under Salvator merianae (Argentine black and white tegu). RNAcentral describes it as "lncRNA (ENSSMRG00000007676.1)". Lineage: Eukaryota; Metazoa; Chordata; Lepidosauria; Squamata; Teiidae. The record is from RNAcentral.
GCAGAUCCAAUAACGGAUAACUGAAAGGCAUUUUCUUUCCUUGUGCCAGGCAAUGAUGGGAACAACUUGAGUGAAGUUAUAUGUUUGCUGUAAACCCCCACCCCCCACAAUAAUUAAAAAUUGAUGGUGCAACACACGUUGGAAUGUGGAAAACAAACAGGGGUCAGAAUCAGAUGACCCGAGUACUCCAUAGAUCUGAACGCCAAACCUUUUCCAAUGUGAUCACGGCAUUUGUAGCUAACGGUCUUUCUGAGGGUUACAUGUUAGAGUGGGUUGGAAAGACCGAAGAGGACACUCACUACCAAGGGUGGCUGGCUCAUAAGGGCAAAAUGGAUGGAGUCCCAUCACACCUGGUAGGUCAGAGGUUGAGGCAAUUUUUCCUUUCUCCUUUACAUAUAUUUCAAUUCAAGUUUGGCUAAAGCGCACAUAAACCAACAUGCUCAAUGAGGUUAAUUAACAGUAUUUCACCUAUCUUUAGCUCUGGAUAAUGUNAUCCCUGGAACCACUUCAUCGUGGCUGUUAUCCUCUAUAUCCCUUCAGCCACAAUGGGUCAAACUGUUAAGGAAUGCAUCUGGCAAUUGAAUAGUUAAAGGGAUAAUAAUCAAAUAUCUGGAAGAUGCCUUGCUAGCUAACUUUUCCAACAUGUCAACUAUUUAAACACAUUGUUCGUCUCAAAACAAUGCAUAACUUUUACCUUUGCUAGAUUAAAUAUCUUACCCUCAGUCCUGUUGUAUAAGCACCUUUGAUUGUGCCAAGUGUGUCUUAUGGAAUCAAUAGAUCAUGUGCUACAAUAUUGUCUGCAUUAUGGAGGCAUUCAAUCCAGUUAAUAAUAAGGCAAUUUCCUAGUAGAGAUGACUUUUGUACAUUCUUGCCAUUAGCAGAUCAUAGUAUAUGUAUCACAAGAAGUACAUGUAAUAAUUUGUGUCAGUGUCAUUCUCACAAGGAACCAUUUGACAAGGGUUCUGGAUUAUGAUGGGAAGCAUUUGCAGCUUAGUUGUUUACAUUUGAUAUGAUUGUUUUAUUCUGUUGCAUGUAUUUUUUUCACCUUUACCCUUCUGGGAUUGUAAAGAAACUAUGCACUUACUAUGGCUCACUCCUGAGUCUUCAAAUAUCUAAAGGAAUGUCUUCUCCCAUAUAGACCUGCCUUUGCCCUAAGAUCUGCUGGUGAGGCCAUCUUGGCAGUACCAUCUCCUCCAGCAGUUAAGGGGGUGGGGAGACAUGGGAGGGCAUUCUCAGGCUAUGGAAUAGUCUCUCCUCUGAGGUACAUCAGACACCCUUUUUAUAGGUAUUUAGCUGACAGGUGAGGCACACCUCUUUGCCCUGACCUUUGUCUGAGGGAGCAGCUUCCCCUCCUAAUGCAGGAACUGUCAUUAUUUUAACUAACUUAUCUGUUUUUAUACUGAUUUUUAUAUACUGAUU